Long non-coding RNA from Callithrix jacchus (white-tufted-ear marmoset), 2815 nucleotides. The record is from Ensembl. NCBI's taxonomy places the organism in Eukaryota, Metazoa, Chordata, Mammalia, Primates, Cebidae.
UCUCCUCUAAGACCAUUUCCUACCUAAAAAGUCCUCUCUGCCUUCACUGCCCAGCUUGAUCUCACCCCUCCACGAAGCUGCCUUCUGGAUGUCCUGGUUUCUGGAUGACCCCCCUCCUGGAUUGUGGGAGAGAUUCCCAGUCCUCUGAGCUUAAGGCCCUGACUCUUGAGAUAAAAGGCAUUUCAUUCUGCUGCAUGUCACACUUAGGUGUGACCUAUACUGCCCUCCAGGCUGUGACGGCAAGCUGCAAAGAACUGGGGGAGAAGGACUCCUGCAGACCCACUAAGUGCUGCACACAGGCUUGGGAUGCUUUCCCUUUCUGCUCUGAAAGCCCUGAGGCUCCGAGAAUGAGACAAAGCAGCCAUCGGAGAUGUAGACAACAGGGAAAGCUGGGAUGCAUGAGGUAUAUGUGGAAACUCUCUCAGCAAAAACAAAGGCAGAUGCCAGUAACACGUGGCUGGAGGCUAAAGCACAUGGAAAACAGUGAGCCUGAAGAGGUGGGUUGAAUAUCACGUUAAGGUGUCCGUGCUUUAUCCUGAAACUAUGGAGAGAUGGCAAAUAUUUCAUCAAGGGGCUUAACAUGAUCAGCUUGCGGUUAGAUUGCUACUGGACAGACCUGAAGCUAUAACAGAGGCCAGGACAAGAAAUUAUGAAGAUCUGAGUGAAGACAGCAGCAACAGAUGGAGAAAAGGGGCCAGAUUCCAGAGAUAUCCUGAGGUUGUCUUGGAUGGGACCUGGUAAUUGAUUGAUUGAUUGCUGUGAGUGGGAGAAGAAAAGAGUCUAGGAGAAUGCCCAGGUUUCUGGUUUCCCAACGUUAGGUGGGUGGCAGAGCUCUGGAAUGAAGGAGGGGCAGAUCUGAAGACACCAUGACUCCAUCAGCUCCAACACGUUUUUGAGAGAACAUCAUUGCAGGUAUUGUGCAAAACAGUUUCUGGAAUUCUUCCAACCUGACCCUUUCUGGGGGAUUGCUACCUAAAGACAUAUGGCCAAAUUUGCAUUCUUGGAUGCUCAACCUGUUAUUGAGGUCUCUCCAAUGCUUAAGCUAAGGGCUCUUUCUCUAUAUCUUUGCCUACUGGACCUACCUCUGCCCUAGGGGCCCUCACAGACCUGCUCUCUCUGCCCCAGGGAAGCCCUUUAGAGAUCUGCAGAUAGUGCCGACGUCCCCUGAGUCUCUCAUUCUUCAGCUGAACAGUCCCAGACCUUCCCUUGCUCUAACACAAGAUAGUUUCACCCACCCUAGACGUACUCCAGGACACAAAACCUCAUGAGUAUCUACGCAGCCCAGAGUGAGUAGAACACUCACCUUUCUACUUCUAGACAUUAUUUCACUCUGAAUGCCCUCUACAGGUGUGCUCCACCACGCCCAGCUAAUUUUUUUUUUUUUUUUUUGAGAGGGAGUUUCGCUCUGGUUAUCCAGGCUGGAGUGCAAUGGCAUGAUCUCGGCUCACCGCAACCUCCGCCUCCUGGGUUCAGGCAAUUCUCCUGCCUCAGCCUCCUGAGUAGCUGGGAUUACAGGCAUGUGCCACUAUGCCCAGCUAAUUUUUUGUAUUUUUAGUAGAGACGGGGUUUCACCAUGUUGACCAGGAUGGUCUUGAUCUCUUGACCUCGUGAUCCACCCUCCUCGGCCUCCCAAAGUGCUGGGAUUAUAGGUGUGAGCCACCGCGCCCGACUGCUCUUAGAAUGAAUAAGACCCUGGAUGACCUAGUUCCUGCUCACCUCCUCCUCCUGCCCCACGUCUGUCUCCCUGUUUUGUGCUGAAGCCAGGCUGGUUUCUGUUCUGUCCAGGUACUUGUUCCCCCUGCCUGAGACACUCUAGUUUGCAGGGCUGGUCGAUCCUCAGACACCAGGUCUAAGCUCACAAUUCCCCACAAGCACUCUUAUUCUUCCCAAUGUGCCUCCCCGGUCACUCUGCCUCACCAGCCUAUUGGUCCACACCACAGCACUCCAUACUCACCAUUUAUUAUUUGCUUCUUUGUUAUCUUUCUUCCCACCCCAGAAGAUAAACUCCAUGAGAAUACAGACUUUGCCUGUCUUGUUCACUGUUAGCACAGGGUGGACACUCAAGUCAUGCUUUUUGAUUUAUGAAUAAAGGCAAUGUCCUCUCAAAGCUUGUUGUCAUUUGGAAUUCAAUAUUUUCUAAUAUCUUCUAUUCCCUGCAAGAUAUGUCUUUCCAAGAGAGACAUUUACUCUGGUUGGUUUUCUGAUUAGGAACUUUUGAAUCACAUAAAAGAUGUGUGAUGAUAUUUCUCUGUCCAUGCAUCCUUAGGGGUUUUGGAUAGCAUACUUGUCUGAUAAUGAGAUAUUCAGAUUCCCUAUUGGAAUGUUUCGGGCCAAGAUGAAAUAACUACUGUCCUACUGGUCACAUUAGUAGCUUGAGAGGCAUCAGGAGGGACUAGUGGCCAACAGGGGCCCCACCCUCCUGGCAGAAAGACUCCUUUUCCCUGUUCAUGGAUGCAGAUUGAUGUGGGCUGCUGACUGUGUCCCUGCCCGCAGUAGGCUCAAGCCAUGCUUUGCUUUGCAAGCUGUUGAUGCCAAAUGUGACAUGGGAGGAAGGGCUCAUCUUGGGUGUUAGGCAGAAGAUUCCUCUAGAUAUUUUUGACACUGUUUUUUUUUGAGAUGGAGUCUCACUCUGUGGCCCAGGCUGAAGUGCAGUGACAUGAUUUUGGCUCACUGCAACCUCUGCCCCAGGUUCAAGCAAUUCUCCUGCCCCAGCCCACGCCUGGCUAAUACUUGAAUUUUUAGUGGAGAUGAGGUUUCACCAUGUUGGUCAGGCUGGUCUCGAAUGCUUGACCUCAGGUAAUCUGCCCACCUUGGU